AUCCCCCAAACCAAGGGGGGAUGAGAACCACCGAGCGGGGUUCGACAACUGGCGCAGCCAGUUGGACAGACGACGAGCUUGCGAGGAGACUGCCCGAAGGGCGAGCGCAGCGAGUCAAUCCCCCCUCACCGCCA
RNAcentral lists this small RNA (134 nucleotides) under Salmonella enterica. Its description in RNAcentral is "RtT sRNA". It matches the Rfam family "RtT RNA". Rfam says of the family: This family represents a bacterial cis-regulatory element known as RtT RNA. The exact function of RtT is unknown although it is thought that it may be involved in changing the cellular response in relation to amino acid starvation. Lineage: Bacteria; Pseudomonadati; Pseudomonadota; Gammaproteobacteria; Enterobacterales; Enterobacteriaceae. RNAcentral also lists the same sequence under 2 other names. The record is from RNAcentral.